RNAcentral lists this small nucleolar RNA (94 nucleotides) under Manihot esculenta (cassava). RNAcentral's name for it is "Small nucleolar RNA snoR26". It matches the Rfam family "Small nucleolar RNA snoR26". Lineage: Eukaryota; Viridiplantae; Streptophyta; Magnoliopsida; Malpighiales; Euphorbiaceae. The record is from Rfam by way of RNAcentral.
UUGGCAUCGGUGAUGAGUUGAUAAAAAAAUCGUUAUCCUUGCACUUUGAUUCACAGUGAAGAAAAUCAUGGGGAUUUAUCACUCUGAGAUGCUC